Molecule: ribosomal RNA, 362 nt
Filed under: uncultured bacterium
Lineage: Bacteria
Description: partial 16S ribosomal RNA
Rfam family: Bacterial small subunit ribosomal RNA
Source: RNAcentral
CCUACGGGUGGCAGCAGUGAGGAAUAUUGGUCAAUGGACGCAAGUCUGAACCAGCCAUGCCGCGUGCAGGAAGACGGCUCUAAGAGUUGUAAACUUCUUUUGUACGAGGGCAAACGCAGAUACGUGUCUCUGUCUGAAAGUACCGUACGAAAAAGGAUCGGCUAACUCCGUGCCAGCAGCCGCGGUAAUACGGAGGAUGCGAGCGUUAUCCGGAUUUAUUGGGUUUAAAGGGUGCGCAGGCGGUAGUGUAAGUGAGAGGUUAAAUCCCGGGGCCCAACUUCGGAGUUGCCUUUGAUCCUGUUCGGCUCGAGAGUAGUUGCAGUAGGCGGAAUGUAUGGUGUAGCGGUGAAAUGCUUAGAGAU